Molecule: ribosomal RNA, 482 nt
Filed under: uncultured bacterium
Lineage: Bacteria
Description: partial 16S ribosomal RNA
Rfam family: Bacterial small subunit ribosomal RNA
Source: RNAcentral
AUUGAACGCUGGCGGCAUGCUUUACACAUGCAAGUCGAACGGUAACAGGCCGCAAGGUGCUGACGAGUGGCGAACGGGUGAGUAAUGCAUCGGAACGUGCCCAGUCGUGGGGGAUAACUACUCGAAAGAGUAGCUAAUACCGCAUACGAUCUAUGGAUGAAAGCGGGGGACCGUAAGGCCUCGCGCGAUUGGAGCGGCCGAUGUCAGAUUAGGUAGUUGGUGGGGUAAAGGCUCACCAAGCCAACGAUCUGUAGCUGGUCUGAGAGGACAACCAGCCACACUGGGACUGAGACACGGCCCAGACUCCUACGGGAGGCAGCAGUGGGGAAUUUUGGACAAUGGGCACAAGCCUGAUCCAGCAAUGCCGCGUGCAGGAAGAAGGCCUUCGGGUUGUAAACUGCUUUUGUACGGAACGAAACGGCUCUGGUUAAUACCCGGGGCUAAUGACGGUACCGUAAGAAUAAGCACCGGCUAACUACGUG